This 640-nucleotide long non-coding RNA is filed under the name Equus caballus (horse). Its description in RNAcentral is "lncRNA (ENSECAG00000049024.1)". Lineage: Eukaryota; Metazoa; Chordata; Mammalia; Perissodactyla; Equidae. The record is from RNAcentral.
GGGAGGGGAGAGGGGCUAGAGAUUAUGUUCAAUCACCAACUGUCAAUGAUUUAAUCAAUCAUGCUUAUGUAAUGAAACUUCUACGAAAACCCAAAAGGACUGGGUUCAGAGAGCUUUUGGGUUGGUGGACACAUAGAGAGUGGGGAGAGUGGUGUACCCGCAGAGGGCAUGGAAGCUUCACACCCUUUCCCCAUACCUUGCGCUAUGCAUCUCCUUCAUCUGGCUGUUCCUGAGUUGUAUCCUUUCAUAAGAAACCAGUGCUCUAGUCCUUUGUAUUUGCUCUUCAAGAUUCCUGCAAAGCAAUCAUCUCAAGUAUGUUAGUGAACGAUUUCUACUCAGCAGUGUGGUCUCUGCUCCACCCAACCAGUCCCAAACACCCCUACCUCCAACCUCCUCCUUUGUCUAAAGGUGAAGCUGGUAUUUAAGGGGGUGUCUUCAGCCAUUUUGGUGAGUUACUCAAUUUUCCUGGGUUUCUCCCACGUAUAUAUGUUAUUAAACUUAGUCUGAUUUUCUCCUGUUACUCUGUCUCAUGUCAAUUUAAUUCUUACACAAGCCAGAAGGACCUAGAGAGUAGAGGAAUGGCUCUUCCUCCCCUACAAGAAUAAGAAAAGUAAAUCAAACAUGCAUAAAAAUUAGCACA